GGAGGCAGCAGUAGGGAAUAUUGCGCAAUGGGGGAAACCCUGACGCAGCGACGCCGCGUGAGCGAUGAAGGCCUUCGGGUCGUAAAGCUCUGUCGUAUGGGAAUAAACAAAUGAAUGUACCAUGCAAGAAAGGAUCGGCUAACUUCGUGCCAGCAGCCGCGGUAAGACGAGGGAUCCUAGC
This 181-nucleotide ribosomal RNA is filed under the name uncultured Bdellovibrio sp. RNAcentral describes it as "partial 16S ribosomal RNA". It matches the Rfam family "Bacterial small subunit ribosomal RNA", at positions 344 to 539 of the family's 1533-position model. Lineage: Bacteria; Pseudomonadati; Bdellovibrionota; Bdellovibrionia; Bdellovibrionales; Pseudobdellovibrionaceae. The record is from RNAcentral.